GAUUGCAGGCAGAUUCUUCACCAUCGGAUCCACCAGGGAAUCCCAUCUCACACUGAACAGCAUCUCAGUUCAGACUUCCUGCAUUUCAAAUGCUCAAAAGACUCAUGUGACUAGUAGCUACCAUUAAUGGGCAGUGUAGCUCUAAGCAGCGGCUCAUUUCUUCCAAGACGCACAACCGAGCAAUGACAGAAGGAACGAGAACAGCUGCAAGCACUGAGACUCUGUCAAGAAAGCCUCUUUCUUCUUUAGGUUAUCCAAGACCCACGCACUGCAACCAGAUGCAUGCCGUCCUGAGCCCAAACCCUCGACUUCUCUCCCAUCUCGGACUUUCAAAUUCUUAAAUUUGCCCUUUACUUAAAAAAGUCAAUGAUUUCACCAAGAAAGUUUGAUUAGUUUCUUUUACUUUCUGUAAUGAAGUGCCAUCCUUUUUACACUUGAAAGGAUCUUUGUAAUAAUGCAACAUUGAUCUUUUGAAUAC
Bos taurus (domestic cattle) is the source of this 478-nucleotide long non-coding RNA. The record is from Ensembl. NCBI's taxonomy places the organism in Eukaryota, Metazoa, Chordata, Mammalia, Artiodactyla, Bovidae.